This 191-nucleotide small nuclear RNA is filed under the name Pogona vitticeps (central bearded dragon). RNAcentral's name for it is "U2 spliceosomal RNA (ENSPVIG00000016036.1)". It matches the Rfam family "U2 spliceosomal RNA". Rfam says of the family: U2 is a small nuclear RNA (snRNA) component of the spliceosome (involved in pre-mRNA splicing). The record is from Rfam by way of RNAcentral. Lineage: Eukaryota; Metazoa; Chordata; Lepidosauria; Squamata; Agamidae.
AUGGCUUCUCAGCUUUAUGGCUAAGAUGAUGUGUAGUAUCUGUUCUUAUCAGAGUAAUGUCUGAUAGCUUCUCCAAGUGAGGAGUAAGUAUUACUUUUAUUUUUGGAAUGUGGAAGUUAAGUAAGGCUUGCUCUACUUUUUCUCCAGCAUCAACCUGGUAUUGCAGUAUUUGUAGGAAUUGUGCAUUAUUA